Non-coding RNA from Tephrocybe rancida, 88 nucleotides. The record is from the annotation of a GenBank genome assembly. NCBI's taxonomy places the organism in Eukaryota, Fungi, Basidiomycota, Agaricomycetes, Agaricales, Lyophyllaceae.
GGGCACAUGGUGUAGUUGGUUAUCACGCCCGCUUAGCAUCUUUGAAUGUAUCUGCGGGCGGUCCCCGGUUCAAUUCCGGGUGUGUCCA